This 29-nucleotide non-coding RNA is filed under the name Rattus norvegicus (Norway rat). Lineage: Eukaryota; Metazoa; Chordata; Mammalia; Rodentia; Muridae. The record is from RNAcentral.
UGGCUUCUUCAGGAUUGAACUACAGCUGC